This 468-nucleotide ribosomal RNA is filed under the name uncultured bacterium. RNAcentral's name for it is "partial 16S ribosomal RNA". It matches the Rfam family "Bacterial small subunit ribosomal RNA", at positions 28 to 507 of the family's 1533-position model. The record is from RNAcentral.
GACGAACGCUGGCGGCGUGCUUAACACAUGCAAGUCGAACGGAAAGGCCCUGCUUUUGUGGGGUGCUCGAGUGGCGAACGGGUGAGUAACACGUGAGUAACCUGCCCUUGACUUUGGGAUAACUUCAGGAAACUGGGGCUAAUACCGGAUAGGAGCUCCUGCUGCAUGGUGGGGGUUGGAAAGUUUCGGCGGUUGGGGAUGGACUCGCGGCUUAUCAGCUUGUUGGUGGGGUAGUGGCUUACCAAGGCUUUGACGGGUAGCCGGCCUGAGAGGGUGACCGGCCACAUUGGGACUGAGAUACGGCCCAGACUCCUACGGGAGGCAGCAGGGGGGAAUAUUGCACAAUAGGCGGGAGCCUGAUGCAGCGACGCCGCGUGCGGGAUAACGGCCUUCGGGUUGUAAACCGCUGUCGCCUGUGACGAAGCGUGAGUGACGGUAAUGGGUAAAGAAGCACCGGCUAACUACGUG